This 253-nucleotide ribosomal RNA is filed under the name uncultured bacterium. Its description in RNAcentral is "partial 16S ribosomal RNA". It matches the Rfam family "Bacterial small subunit ribosomal RNA", at positions 524 to 776 of the family's 1533-position model. The record is from RNAcentral.
UACGAAGGGUGCAAGCGUUACUCGGAAUUACUGGGCGUAAAGCGUGCGUAGGUGGUUUGUUAAGUCUGAUGUGAAAGCCCUGGGCUCAACCUGGGAAUUGCAUUGGAUACUGGCAAGCUAGAGUGCGGUAGAGGAUGGCGGAAUUCCCGGUGUAGCAGUGAAAUGCGUAGAGAUCGGGAGGAACAUCUGUGGCGAAGGCGGCCAUCUGGACCAGCACUGACACUGAGGCACGAAAGCGUGGGGAGCAAACAGG